AUAAAUCUAGGCCCCAUACCCCUAGACUCCCUAGAUUUGAAGGUGAGUUACCCCCAUCACUCACCUUCUUUU
RNAcentral lists this small RNA (72 nucleotides) under Schinkia azotoformans LMG 9581. RNAcentral's name for it is "Bacillus azotoformans LMG 9581 Listeria sRNA sbrA". It matches the Rfam family "Listeria sRNA sbrA". Lineage: Bacteria; Bacillati; Bacillota; Bacilli; Caryophanales; Bacillaceae. The record is from Rfam by way of RNAcentral.